Molecule: unclassified non-coding RNA, 230 nt
Filed under: Hevea brasiliensis (rubber tree)
Lineage: Eukaryota; Viridiplantae; Streptophyta; Magnoliopsida; Malpighiales; Euphorbiaceae
Source: RNAcentral
AUUGAUCAUCCAGAUGGAGGUAAUCAAUCAUCAAUGAUCUUACCGACAAGACCUUGUAGUGUGGAGGGAUUGGAAUGCUUAGGGGAAGAGCAGGGACCUAUCUCAUCUAAAACUAGUUCUGGUGUGCAGAACCAGAUAAUUUCCAAUGCAGAGUCCUGCGCAAAGAAUGGCUGUAGUGCUAUUCUUGAUUCAGAUAUUAUUAAUGUUCCAACAGAAAAGACAGCCUGUAA